AACGUAGGUACCGAGCGUCAAUCGGAAUUACUGGGCGUAAAGCGUGCGCAGGCGGUUUUGUAAGACAGAUGUGAAAUCCCCGGGCUUAACCUGGGAACUGCAUUUGUGACUGCAAGGCUAGAGUACGGCAGAGGGGGGUAGAAUUCCACGUGUAGCAGUGAAAUGCGUAGAUAUGCGGAGGAACACCGAUGGCGAAGGCAAUCCCCUGGACCUGUACUGACGCUCAUGCACGAAAGCGUGGGGAGCAAACAGG
This 253-nucleotide ribosomal RNA is filed under the name uncultured bacterium. RNAcentral's name for it is "partial 16S ribosomal RNA". It matches the Rfam family "Bacterial small subunit ribosomal RNA", at positions 524 to 776 of the family's 1533-position model. The record is from RNAcentral.